RNAcentral lists this long non-coding RNA (424 nucleotides) under Malus domestica (apple). RNAcentral's name for it is "long non-coding RNA (MDOM_LNC008657)". The record is from RNAcentral. Lineage: Eukaryota; Viridiplantae; Streptophyta; Magnoliopsida; Rosales; Rosaceae.
AGAUGUGGCACCCAAAUUGUAAGAGAAUGCUUCUUAAAAUGAACUUAAAAUCCUUAAAUGUUUAAUUUAAAAAAACAAUGAAGGAUCAAUUAUACAUAUACUCGUAGACCCUUUAUGUAAAGGGAUCCCCAUUUCUUUUUUAAAAUGGGAAUUAGGUGUGGGGCCCACUCCACAUUGAACUUCAAUGAUUUGAACUGUCUAUUUUGUAAGUCUCACUUCAUAAAUCAUCUUUGUAAAAAUUCAAUUCAAUUCGAAAUCAUUUGCCUAUUUAAUAUUAAAGUAAAAUCUCAUAGGAAAACUAAUAAAAAUGGUUUCAACAUAUAUAUUGUAUAUGUUCAUAUAUUUGUCAAUAUAUAUAUUUGUUUCAUGUGAGUCAAAGUACAAAAUUAAAUUAGAAGCAAAUACGGGUUUCCUAAACCCUAAG